AUUGAACGCUGGCAGCAGGCCUAACACAUGCAAGUCGAACGGUAACAGGAAACAGCUUGCUGUUUCGCUGACGAGUGGCGGACGGGUGAGUAAUGUCUGGGAAACUGCCUGAUGGAGGGGGAUAACUACUGGAAACGGUAGCUAAUACCGCAUAACGUCGCAAGACCAAAGAGGGGGACCCUCGGGCCUCUUGCCAUCGGAUGUGCCCAGAUGGGAUUAGCUUGUUGGUGGGGUAACGGCUCACCAAGGCGACGAUCCCUAGCUGGUCUGAGAGGAUGACCAGCCACACUGGAACUGAGACACGGUCCAGACUCCUACGGGAGGCAGCAGUGGGGAAUAUUGCACAAUGGGCGCAAGCCUGAUGCAGCCAUGCCGCGUGUAUGAAGAAGGCCUUCGGGUUGUAAAGUACUUUCAGCGGGGAGGAAGGGAGUAAAGUUAAUACCUUUGCUCAUUGACGUUACCCGCAGAAGAAGCACCGGCUAACUCCGUG
This 490-nucleotide ribosomal RNA is filed under the name uncultured bacterium. RNAcentral describes it as "partial 16S ribosomal RNA". It matches the Rfam family "Bacterial small subunit ribosomal RNA", at positions 30 to 507 of the family's 1533-position model. The record is from RNAcentral.